RNAcentral lists this ribosomal RNA (1012 nucleotides) under Klebsiella pneumoniae. RNAcentral's name for it is "bacterial SSU rRNA". It matches the Rfam family "Bacterial small subunit ribosomal RNA", at positions 1 to 1024 of the family's 1533-position model. Lineage: Bacteria; Pseudomonadati; Pseudomonadota; Gammaproteobacteria; Enterobacterales; Enterobacteriaceae. The record is from RNAcentral.
AAAUUGAAGAGUUUGAUCAUGGCUCAGAUUGAACGCUGGCGGCAGGCCUAACACAUGCAAGUCGAGCGGUAGCACAGAGAGCUUGCUCUCGGGUGACGAGCGGCGGACGGGUGAGUAAUGUCUGGGAAACUGCCUGAUGGAGGGGGAUAACUACUGGAAACGGUAGCUAAUACCGCAUAACGUCGCAAGACCAAAGUGGGGACCUUCGGGCCUCAUGCCAUCAGAUGUGCCCAGAUGGGAUUAGCUAGUAGGUGGGGUAACGGCUCACCUAGGCGACGAUCCCUAGCUGGUCUGAGGAUGACCAGCCACACUGGAACUGAGACACGGUCCAGACUCCUACGGAGGCAGCAGUGGGGAAUAUUGCACAAUGGGCGCAAGCCUGAUGCAGCCAUGCCGCGUGUGUGAAGAAGGCCUUCGGGUUGUAAAGCACUUCAGCGGGGAGGAAGGCGAUAAGGUUAAUAACCUUGUCGAUUGACGUUACCCGCAGAAGAAGCACCGGCUAACCCGUGCCAGCAGCCGCGGUAAUACGGAGGGUGCAAGCGUUAAUCGGAAUUACUGGGCGUAAGCGCACGCAGGCGGUCUGUCAAGUCGGAUGUGAAAUCCCCGGGCUUAACCGGGAACUGCAUUCGAAACUGGCAGGCUAGAGUCUUGUAGAGGGGGUAGAAUUCCGUGUAGCGGUGAAAUGCGUAGAGAUCUGAGGAAUACCGGUGGCGAAGGCGGCCCCCGACAAAGACUGACGCUCAGGUGCGAAAGCGUGGGGAGCAAACAGGAUUAGAUACCCGGUAGUCCACGCCGUAAACGAUGUCGAUUUGGAGGUUGUGCCCUUGAGGCGUGGCUUCCGGAGCUAACGCGUUAAAUCGACCGCCUCGGGAGUACGGCCGCAAGGUUAAAACUCAAAUGAAUUGACGGGGCCCGCACGCGGUGGAGCAUGUGGUUUAAUUCGAUGCAACGCGAAGAACUUACCGGUCUUGACAUCCACAGAACUUUCCAGAGAUGGAUUGGUGCCUUUCGG